Molecule: ribosomal RNA, 471 nt
Filed under: uncultured organism
Description: partial 16S ribosomal RNA
Rfam family: Bacterial small subunit ribosomal RNA
Source: RNAcentral
ACUCCUGCGGGAGGCAGCAGUGGGGAAUUUUGGACAAUGGGCGAAAGCCUGAUCCAGCAAUGCCGCGUGAGUGAAGAAGGCCUUCGGGUUGUAAAGCUCUUUUGUCAGGGAAGAAACGGUGAGAGCUAAUAUCUCUUGCUAAUGACGGUACCUGAAGAAUAAGCACCGGCUCACUACGUGCCAGCAGCCGCGGUAAUACGUAGGGUGCAAGCGUUAAUCGGAAUUACUGGGCGUAAAGCGUGCGCAGGCGGUUUUGUAAGUCUGAUGUGAAAUCCCCGGGCUCAACCUGGGAAUUGCAUUGGAGACUGCAAGGCUAGAAUCUGGCAGAGGGGGGUAGAAUUCCACGUGUAGCAGUGAAAUGCGUAGAUAUGUGGAGGAACACCGAUGGCGAAGGCAGCCCCCUGGGUCAAGAUUGACGCUCAUGCACGAAAGCGUGGGGAGCAAACAGGAUUAGAAACCCUUGUAGUCCCA